GAGGGUAGAGCUCAAUGGUAAGAGUUUGUGCUUAGCAUGCAUGAGGUUCUGGGUUCAAUCUCCAGUACCUCCA
Molecule: transfer RNA, 73 nt
Filed under: Camelus bactrianus (Bactrian camel)
Lineage: Eukaryota; Metazoa; Chordata; Mammalia; Artiodactyla; Camelidae
Also listed under: 2 other names
Rfam family: tRNA
About the family: Transfer RNA (tRNA) molecules are approximately 80 nucleotides in length. Their secondary structure includes four short double-helical elements and three loops (D, anti-codon, and T loops).
Source: Rfam by way of RNAcentral